Molecule: small nuclear RNA, 103 nt
Organism: Suncus etruscus (white-toothed pygmy shrew)
Lineage: Eukaryota; Metazoa; Chordata; Mammalia; Eulipotyphla; Soricidae
Source: RefSeq, a predicted model, not a curated record
GUGCUCGCUUCAGCAGCACAUAUACUAAAAUUGGAACAAUACAGAGAAGAUUAGCGUGGCCCCUACACAAGAAAAUUAAUUUCCUGACAUUCUGAGUAGGCUA